RNAcentral lists this long non-coding RNA (488 nucleotides) under Dromaius novaehollandiae (emu). Its description in RNAcentral is "lncRNA (ENSDNVG00000001926.1)". The record is from RNAcentral. Lineage: Eukaryota; Metazoa; Chordata; Aves; Casuariiformes; Dromaiidae.
GGGGAAUUUGCUUGGAGAGAUGGAAAUGGUGUUUUGAAUGCUCUUUCUCUCCUUAUCUUCUAACCUCUUGUCCUUUAUUGUCUCUUAUAGUUCAUUGUGUCCUGAAUCCCUGCUAGCAUCUUUGCGAAUUUUCCAGUUCUCAUGGAAGAAGUUCCUAUCGCUAACUUGGCUGUAGCAUGGACUUAAGACAACUUUACAUGUGCUCUGUGAUACUCUGGAGCCCUUAGAGAGAUGGCGGGCAAGCAGAGUCUGACUGAGAGUAACAAGGUUCUGGACUCCUUGGGAAGCGCUGCCUAUGAAGUGAUACCUAAGAUCAGGAAGGGAGACCUUCCACUGAGGAAAGCACCCCUGGGUCUCUGCAUAUCUGAAGCUGUUUUUGCUGUUUCCGUGUUCCCCUCCAGUCUGUAACAGAAGUUGAUGUUCAACAGCUGCCUCAGGAUUAGCCUCUUAGAGCUAACACCCUGGUGAGAGGGGGAAGAGAAGGUUAC